This 339-nucleotide unclassified non-coding RNA is filed under the name uncultured fungus. Its description in RNAcentral is "partial contains small subunit ribosomal RNA, internal transcribed spacer 1, and 5.8S ribosomal RNA". The stretch from base 1 to 73 matches the Rfam family "Eukaryotic small subunit ribosomal RNA", at positions 1759 to 1831 of the family's 1831-position model. Lineage: Eukaryota; Fungi. The record is from RNAcentral.
GCAAACUUGGUCAUUUAGAGGAAGUAAAAGUCGUAACAAGGUUUCCGUAGGUGAACCUGCGGAAGGAUCAUUAUCGAAAGAACAGUUGCGGGAUGUUGCUGGCACUGCGGUGCAUGUGCACUCCCCGGCUACUUCUCGAAACCAUUUCGCAACCCUUGUGAACUUGUUUGUAGGAGGGGAAGAUCUUUUGGUCGGCCCUCCUAUGUAUUGUUUUUACAACAUUUCACACCAGAAUGUUCAAAUGGAUGGUAUCUCAGUGUGGCCCAAAUUUUUGGGCUUGAUAAAUACACAACUUUCAACAAUGGAUCUCUUGGCUCUCGCAUCGAUGAAGAACGCAGC